RNAcentral lists this ribosomal RNA (241 nucleotides) under uncultured bacterium. RNAcentral describes it as "partial 16S ribosomal RNA". It matches the Rfam family "Bacterial small subunit ribosomal RNA", at positions 524 to 763 of the family's 1533-position model. The record is from RNAcentral.
UACGAAGGGUGCAAGCGUUACUCGGAAUUACUGGGCGUAAAGCGUGCGUAGGUGGUUUGUUAAGUCUGAUGUGAAAGCCCUGGGCUCAACCUGGGAAUUGCAUUGGAUACUGGCAGGCUAGAGUGCGGGUAGAGGAUGGCGGAAUUCCCGGUGUAGCAGUGAAAUGCGUAGAGAUCGGGAGGAACAUCUGUGGCGAAGGCGGUGGUCUGGGCCGGCACUGACGCUGAGGAGCGAAAGCGUG